This 450-nucleotide ribosomal RNA is filed under the name uncultured Glomeromycotina. Its description in RNAcentral is "SSU rRNA". It matches the Rfam family "Eukaryotic small subunit ribosomal RNA", at positions 569 to 1024 of the family's 1831-position model. Lineage: Eukaryota; Fungi; Glomeromycota. The record is from RNAcentral.
AGCAGCCGCGGUAAUUCCAGCUCCAAUAGCGUAUAUUAAAGUUGUUGCAGUUAAAAGCUCGUAGUUGAAUUUCGGGGUUAGUACGCUGGUCGUGCCUUCGGUAUGUACUGGUGUUACUGAUUCCUACCUUCUGAAGAACCGUCAUGUCAUUAAUUUGGUGUGGCGGGGAAUCAGGACUGUUACUUUGAAAAAAUUAGAGUGUUUAAAGCAGGCUCGCGCUUGAAUACAUUAGCAUGGAAUAAUGAAAUAGGACGUUUGAUCCUAUUUUGUUGGUUUCUAGGAUUGACGUAAUGAUUAAUAGGGAUAGUUGGGGGCAUUAGUAUUCAAUUGUCAGAGGUGAAAUUCUUGGAUUUUAUUGAAGACUAACUACUGCGAAAGCAUUUGCCAAGGAUGUUUUCAUUAAUCAAGAACGAAAGUUAGGGAUCGAAGACGAUCAGAUACCGUCGUAGU